UGUUUAGGUGCUUGCAUUUAACUGAUUUAACAUUGAGACGAGUGGCGAACUGGUGAGUAACACGUGGGUAACCUGCCCUGAAGUGGGGGAUAACACUUGGAAACAGGUGCUAAUACCGCAUAACAACGAAAACCACAUGGUUUUCGUUUGAAAGAUGGCUUCGGCUGUCACUUUUGGAUGGACCCGCGGCGUAUUAGCUUGUUGGUGAGGUAACGGCUCACCAAGGCCAUGAUACGUAGCCGACCUGAGAGGGUAAUCGGCCACAUUGGGACUGAGACACGGCCCAAACUCCUACGGGAGGCAGCAGUAGGGAAUCUUCCACAAUGGACGAAAGUCUGAUGGAGCAACGCCGCGUGAGUGAUGAAGGGUUUCGGCUCGUAAAACUCUGUUGUUGGAGAAGAACAGGUGAUAGAGUAACUGUUAUCAUCUUGACGGUAUCCAACCAGAAAGCCACGGCUAACUACGUGCCAGCAGCCGCGGUAAUACGUAGGUGGCAAGCGUUGUCCGGAUUUAUUGGGCGUAAAGCGAGCGCAGGCGGUUUUUUAGGUCUGAUGUGAAAGCCUUCGGCUUAACCGGAGAAGGGCAUCGGAAACCGGGAGACUUGAGUGCAGAAGAGGACAGUGGAACUCCAUGUGUAGCGGUGAAAUG
Molecule: ribosomal RNA, 648 nt
Filed under: Lentilactobacillus parafarraginis
Lineage: Bacteria; Bacillati; Bacillota; Bacilli; Lactobacillales; Lactobacillaceae
Description: bacterial SSU rRNA
Rfam family: Bacterial small subunit ribosomal RNA
Source: RNAcentral